ACUGGCUGCUAAGUUAUGCAAUGCUCUGAAGAAUGCCUUGGGAUUAUUUGUCAGAUGCUCUGAAUGCAGGUGUGUAAUAUUCCUAUCCUUGUCGCAAAACAACUAACUUUGUUCCUUCUGGAUAAAAAUAUAAACAGGGCAAUAUAACUGCAUCUACUACGUUUGGAUUUACAACUCAGCAACACGAAGAAAACAUCUUCAGAGAAUUAACAAGAUCGAGAGCACGUUACCAAAACAUGCCUCUGGAAUGUCCUGGGUUAACAGCUACAUGUAUAUGACAAAGAGUGGGAGAUUAAAUUUUAACUGGAAGUCUCAGCUGUGUAUCCACUGUUGGUACAGAAUGUGCUUCGUCUGAUCGAAGAUUCAAAAAAUUUAAAAGGGAAACAAACAUACAACCUGGAUAAGAAGAGCAAGGUUUUCCUUCCAAACAUAAAAUUGUUUCAAUGGAUAACCGACAUAAGGCCUGCAUUUCUUGGAAGAUAUUAUAACAUUAUUGCAUCUGCAGCCUAAUUUAUCAAGAAAUUGUUCAUGCAUGCAUACAAUUUCUGCUCUGACUGAAAGGAACAGCCCUCCAUGAAGAUAAGGCUGUUUUUCCACUGCAGUGAGGAGUAAGCAGCAUGUCUGAUGAGAUUUUAUUCCUGAUGCAAUGUAGGCCAGCAGUCCAAACACUGGUGAAGGUCUUUGCAGAAAAAAUGAGGAGCGCUGCCAUUACAACGUUAGAAGAUGUAAAAAAGCAAGAAGAAAGUGAGGAAAAAGAGGAAUCUGUUUUAGCUCUGUUGGGAAUAAUUGGAACAGUGCUUAAUCUAUUUGUAAUAAUUUUUGUGUAUAUCUACACAACACUUUGAUGGUUUUCUAGAAAUCCAGAAAAGCACAGAGUGCAAAGGCCAGCAAUGACAAAUAGGAUCAGUGAACUCUAUCCAACAGGAAACAAAGCCUCAAAAGAAAAUACACAUUCCAGACAGAACUGCCCAGAUAAAGGCCCAGCACCACUGACCAUAUUCAAAUGUAUCUUUGAAUCUAAUUAAGCUUAUUACAUGUAAAUGAAAACAGUAUUCAACUUCUAAAUGAUGAGUGUCAAUAUUCAAAUUCUUAAAAUGCAUAGUGUUCUUCUGCCAGUGAACAUGGGGACAGUGAUAAUAUAAGCAGGUUACAAAUAAAGAGAAUGGUGCCAUGAAGCCUACUUGUUUUAUUUACCUGAUCCCCAUUAAGCUUCUGGAUUCAUUUAAAUAACAUCUGGGUUGGAAUCCAGUGCACUUUCUACCAUUAUUAAGUGCUAAAAUUUAUACAACUAUACAUGAAAUGUAGAAAGAAGAACAUUGUUAAGCACCAUAUUAUGAAUAAAUAAAAUCUUCAUUGAUUAGCUUCCAUGAUACUUUUAUUUCUUAUACUGCUGACAAUUCUGUCAGGUACUGCAAUAUAAUGCUUGUAGGUAUUAAUUUAUAUCCAUGCUUAUAAGCUACACUCUAUACAACAUGUAAUUGUAAAACAAUGUUUGUAUUGCAAAUUGUAAUUUUCAAGGGCAAUUUUCAUUAAAAAAAGUGAAGAUCAUGGUUUGGGGAAAACAUAGUAACUGCAAUCUACUAUAGAAGUCUGACUUUAACAGAAUAUUGGAAAGAAAUACAUUGAGUAAUUGAAAUUUGAAUCAUGUAUGAUUUAAAAACAGUUUUUAAAACAGAUGGUUUUAAAGUAUUAUGGUAUUAUAUUGGUUCCAAACAAUAUAUUCUCCAUGGCCAAUAACCUGGGGAAAUCUUUCAUGCAUUUACUCAAAAUUCCACUUAAUUGAUCCAAAUAAACAUUUUUACAGUUUUAAA
Thamnophis elegans (Western terrestrial garter snake) is the source of this 1811-nucleotide long non-coding RNA. RefSeq lists it as uncharacterized. The transcript has 2 exons. The record is from RefSeq and is a predicted model, not a curated record. Lineage: Eukaryota; Metazoa; Chordata; Lepidosauria; Squamata; Natricidae.